Molecule: long non-coding RNA, 421 nt
Organism: Chiroxiphia lanceolata (lance-tailed manakin)
Lineage: Eukaryota; Metazoa; Chordata; Aves; Passeriformes; Pipridae
Exons: 3
Source: RefSeq, a predicted model, not a curated record
GUGUCAUCCCUCCGCCUCUUCUGCCCUGCAUAUCCCUCCUGAAGAGCCUGUAACUGUCCAACAGGGCACUCCAGUCAUAGGACUCAUCCCGUCAGGGGAACCAGACAGAGGUUACAGAUCAAUACAAGCUACCUAAAGUCUAAACAGAGACCAAGACACAGCCUUCCCACAAAAAACACCUUCAAACAACCCAGCUCUGGCUCUUGUUGCCUCCAUUGGAGCUGCUGGAUAUUCAAAUGCUUGGGAAGACAGCUUAUAUUCAAGCAGCCAGUGAUGGAUUUAAGUGCUUUGCUCUGUGUUUGCAGUUGGAUUUUCACAUGCUGCUUUCUUUCCUGAGAUGUGCUGGGGCUACAGGGAACUCUUUUUAAAUGGGCGUAGAAAUGGUAAACACAAGUGGAAGAAGGGUUUCUGCCCCAGUAUC